GCGCCCGUAGCUCAAUUGGAUAGAGUGCUUGGCUACGAACCAAGAGGUUGGGAGUUCGAUUCUCUCCGGGCGCACCA
This 77-nucleotide transfer RNA is filed under the name Terriglobia bacterium. RNAcentral's name for it is "tRNA-Arg". It matches the Rfam family "tRNA". From Rfam's summary of the family: Transfer RNA (tRNA) molecules are approximately 80 nucleotides in length. Their secondary structure includes four short double-helical elements and three loops (D, anti-codon, and T loops). Lineage: Bacteria; Pseudomonadati; Acidobacteriota; Terriglobia. The record is from RNAcentral. RNAcentral also lists the same sequence under 3 other names.